Molecule: long non-coding RNA, 830 nt
Filed under: Arabidopsis lyrata
Lineage: Eukaryota; Viridiplantae; Streptophyta; Magnoliopsida; Brassicales; Brassicaceae
Description: long non-coding RNA (ALYR_LNC001890)
Source: RNAcentral
UCUCUCUCUUAUCGCUCUCGUAUCUUUUAGAGAGAGAGAGUCUUCUCUAUUUUCAGCUUUUUGUUUCUGGUUUCGACCAGAUUUGUAUAUUGUUUUCGUUUUCGCUUUCUGCGAUUCAAUAAUUUCCAGUUAGGUGCUGGACUUUUUGUUACCGGCUCAGUCCGGUUCGAUCUCUUUCCAUAUGUAGCUCUUAUCAUCGAUGUCUCCGUCUUCUUCUAAAUUCUCUCUGUUUUCUCCAAUUAUCCGAGGAAUAAUAUCUUCGUCACUCUCCUUUUGCUCAAGAUAUAUGAGCAAAGAAGGAUUCAAGUCUACAUCAAGUUGGGUGUAGCCGGUGGUGGAGCUUCCACGGUGUUGGCAUUUUCCGGAGAAAUUUUGAAGCGUUCUUCAUAUGAAUCCGGCAGAUUUCGAUGCUAUGUUUGGAUUGGAUUGAAGAUCGGCAGAAGGAAGGUAGAUACAGAUCGAUCCAUGGCUGAUUGGCGGUGGCUAAUCAGAAUUAUGGCGAUUUCCGGCGAGGAUUGACGGUGGCGUUGAUAUCUCGACGCGUGGGCUAAGAAGAACACGUAUUAUACACGUGUCAAUAGCUAAUUCAUAUGGGGCUACUUAUGUUUAUCUGUUUACUUUUAAUCUCUGAAUUAGUUUGGGCCGUUCUCGCUUGUAUCCUUUUAAUGGACCUUCUGUACUUGCCUUUGGGCUUUUAAUGAAAACGUUGGCCGACAAAAAAAUAAAAUAAAAUUUAGAAGCAUUGGUGCAGCCUUAGAAGUUAGAACUAAGCUAAUUUAAAUUUAAAGUCCGGUUACAAAUUGAAAAAACAAUUCAUGUAAACGAGUCAG